CCUACGGGAGGCAGCAGUGGGGAAUAUUGCACAAUGGGGGAAAGCCUGAUGCAGCGACGCCGCGUGAAGGAAGAAGGAAUUCGGUAUGUAAAAUUCUAUCAGCAGGGAAGAAAAUGAUGGGACCUGACUAAGAAGCCGCGGCCAACUACGAGCCAGCAGGCGCGGUAAUACGUAGGGGGCAAGCGUUAUCCGGAUUUACUGGGUGUAAAGGGAGCGUAGGCGGUUUAGCAAGUCAGAAGUGAAAGCCCGGGGCUCAACUCCGGGACUGCUUUUGAAACUGUUGAACUAGAGUGCAGGAGAGGUAAGUGGAAUUCGUGGUGUAGCGGUGAAAUGCGUAGAUAUUAGGAGGAACACCGGUGGCGAAGGCGGCUUACUGGACUGUAAAUGACGCUGAGGCUCGAAAGCGUGGGGAGCAAACAGGAUUAGAUACCCGUGUAGUC
Molecule: ribosomal RNA, 440 nt
Filed under: uncultured bacterium
Lineage: Bacteria
Description: partial 16S ribosomal RNA
Rfam family: Bacterial small subunit ribosomal RNA
Source: RNAcentral